RNAcentral lists this long non-coding RNA (316 nucleotides) under Acyrthosiphon pisum (pea aphid). RNAcentral describes it as "uncharacterized LOC107885093, transcript variant X1". The record is from RNAcentral. Lineage: Eukaryota; Metazoa; Arthropoda; Insecta; Hemiptera; Aphididae.
UUUCGAACACCACAGUACGACCGCCGAUUCAGCCUUAGUCAUGUCAUCACGAUCCCGGAACGCGCGUUAAAAACUAUUUGAGAGCACGUUCAAAAUGAUUACCAACCCGAUGAAAAUCUAUAAACCUUUAAGAAAUUCAAAGGGACAAGCAAUUGGUGUAAUAUUAGUAUAAUACGUCUAUGUGGAUACAAAUAUUUUUUCAAUUCCGAACAUAAUGUGGCGUCAUAUCUCCAACGAAAAGAAAAUCUUCCAUAUCUAAAUUAUAUUUCAUUCAAAUCCAAAUUAAAAGGAAAAAAUAUGCAGCCCUAAAAUAAUA